CCUGGCUCAGAUUGAACGCUGGCGGCAGGCCUAACACAUGCAAGUCGAGCGGAAACGGCAGUAUUGAAGCUUCGGUGGAUUUACUGGACGUCGAGCGGCGGACGGGUGAGUAACGGCUGGGAACCUGCCCUGACGCGGGGGAUAACCGUUGGAAACGACGGCUAAUACCGCAUAAUGUCUUAGUUCAUUACGAGCUGGGACCAAAGGUGGCCUCUACAUGUAAGCUAUCGCGUUGGGAUGGGCCCAGUUAGGAUUAGCUAGUUGGUAAGGUAAUGGCUUACCAAGGCAACGAUCCUUAGCUGGUUUGAGAGGAUGAUCAGCCACACUGGGACUGAGACACGGCCCAGACUCCUACGGGAGGCAGCAGUGGGGAAUAUUGCACAAUGGGGGAGACCCUGAUGCAGCCAUGCCGCGUGUGUGAAGAAGGCCUUCGGGUUGUAAAGCACUUUCAGCAGUGAGGAAGGUGGUGUACUUAAUAAGUGCAUGGCUUGACGUUAGCUGCAGAAGAAGCACCGGCUAACUCCGUGCCAGCAGCCGCGGUAAUACGGAGGGUGCGAGCGUUAAUCGGAAUUACUGGGCGUAAAGCGCAUGCAGGCGGUUUGUUAAGUCAGAUGUGAAAGCCCGGGGCUCAACCUCGGAACCGCAUUUGAAACUGGCAGGCUAGAGUCUUGUAGAGGGGGGUAGAAUUUCAGUGUAGCGGUGAAAUGCGUAGAGAUCUGAAGGAAUACCAGUGGCGA
RNAcentral lists this ribosomal RNA (737 nucleotides) under uncultured bacterium. Its description in RNAcentral is "bacterial SSU rRNA". It matches the Rfam family "Bacterial small subunit ribosomal RNA", at positions 18 to 718 of the family's 1533-position model. The record is from RNAcentral.